This 113-nucleotide transfer RNA is filed under the name Chloroflexota bacterium. RNAcentral's name for it is "tRNA-Ala". It matches the Rfam family "tRNA". Rfam says of the family: Transfer RNA (tRNA) molecules are approximately 80 nucleotides in length. Their secondary structure includes four short double-helical elements and three loops (D, anti-codon, and T loops). Further hydrogen bonds mediate the characteristic L-shaped molecular structure. tRNAs have two regions of fundamental functional importance: the anti-codon, which is responsible for specific mRNA codon recognition, and the 3' end, to which the tRNAs corresponding amino acid is attached (by aminoacyl-tRNA synthetases). tRNAs cope with the degeneracy of the genetic code in two manners: having more than one tRNA (with a specific anti-codon) for a particular amino acid; and 'wobble' base-pairing, i.e. permitting non-standard base-pairing at the 3rd anti-codon position. Lineage: Bacteria; Bacillati; Chloroflexota. The record is from RNAcentral.
GCCGAGGUGGCGAAAUUGGCAAACGCGCCGGGCUCGCAACCCGGUGGGGAAAGGGAGCCUCUCUUAGGUCCUCCCAAGUACCCUUGCGGGUUCGAACCCCGCCCUCGGCACCA